GGCGAUGAUGAUGACAAAUUGGGCGAUGAUGAUGACAAAUUGGGCUUUGUGGGGUUAAAUCAAGAAAAUGCUAGAAAUGAGAUUUAGUCUUCAACAUCAUGUACGCUAUUCAUUCUCAUCUCCACUCUUGCUUUCUUCUUCCUUUGCUACAGCUGCCACUUCUAAUCUCCUUUUCUUCUUCCUUUUUUUGGUUUUUUAUUUUUCUAUUUUCUUAUUGAUUUUUUAUUCUUUCUUCAUCGAUCUUCUUCGCCUUUGAUGAUGAUGAACAUGAACACAACAGAGGUGGUGAAGCAAUGGCGAGCGGCGACGAUGAUUUGAUGAAGAGAAGGGUUGAACAGAGAGGAAAUGGUUUGGCUUAUGAUGAUUUGAUGAAUUGAUGAAGAGAAGGGAGAGAGUGGA
RNAcentral lists this long non-coding RNA (399 nucleotides) under Citrus maxima (pomelo). Its description in RNAcentral is "long non-coding RNA (CMAX_LNC001220)". The record is from RNAcentral. Lineage: Eukaryota; Viridiplantae; Streptophyta; Magnoliopsida; Sapindales; Rutaceae.